GUGAGGAAUCUUGCGCAAUGGGGGCAACCCUGACGCAGCAACGCCGCGUGAGUGAUGAAGGCCUUCGGGUCGUAAAGCUCUGUCAGAUGGAAAGAAAGUUCCGGCGGUAAAUAGUCGCCGGGAUUGACGGUACCGUCGAAGGAAGCACCGGCUAACUCCGUGCCAGCAGCCGCGGUAAUACGGAGGGUGCAAGCGUUGUUCGGAAUUAUUGGGCGUAAAGAGCGUGUAGGCGGUUUAGUAAGUCAGAUGUGAAAUCCCUUGGCUCAACCAAGGAAGGGCAUUUGAAACUGCUAAGCUUGAGUACGGGAGGGGGAAGCGGAAUUCCCGGUGUAGAGGUGAAAUUCGUAGAUAUCGGGAGGAACACCGGUGGCGAAGGCGGCUUCCUGGACCGAUACUGACGCUGAGACGCGAAAGCGUGGGGAGCAAACAGGAUUAGAAACCCUAGUAGUCC
Molecule: ribosomal RNA, 451 nt
Filed under: uncultured bacterium
Lineage: Bacteria
Description: bacterial SSU rRNA
Rfam family: Bacterial small subunit ribosomal RNA
Source: RNAcentral